GACAGAGGGGGCAAGCGUUGCUCGGAAUCACUGGGCGUCAAGGGCGCGUAGGCGGGAUGGCAAGUCAGUCGUGAAAUCUCUCGGCUCAACCGAGAAACGUCGGCUGAUACUGCCGUUCUUGAGGGAUGCAGAGGAGACUGGAAUUCCCGGUGUAGCGGUGAAAUGUGUAGAGAUCGGGAGGAACACCGGUGGCGAAGGCGGGUCUCUGGGCAUCUCCUGACGCUGAGGCGCGAAAGCGUGGGGAGCAAACGGG
Molecule: ribosomal RNA, 253 nt
Filed under: uncultured bacterium
Lineage: Bacteria
Description: partial 16S ribosomal RNA
Rfam family: Bacterial small subunit ribosomal RNA
Source: RNAcentral